Cercocebus atys (sooty mangabey) is the source of this 390-nucleotide long non-coding RNA. RefSeq lists it as uncharacterized. The transcript has 3 exons. Lineage: Eukaryota; Metazoa; Chordata; Mammalia; Primates; Cercopithecidae. The record is from RefSeq and is a predicted model, not a curated record.
AGAAAAGAGUAUUGCAGGUAAAGAGUAUUGCAGGUAAAGAGUAUUGCAGGUAAAGAGUACUGCAGGUAAAGAGUAUUGCAGGUAAAGAGUAUUGCAGGUAAAGAGUAUUGCAGGUAAAGAGUAUUGCAGGUAAAGAGUAUUGCAGGUAAAUAGUAUUGCAGGUAAAGAGUAUUGCAGGUAAAGAGUAUUGCAGGUAAAGAGUAUUGCAGGUAAAGAGUACUGCAGGUAAAGAGUAUUGCAGGUAAAGAGUACUGCAGGUAAAGAGUACUGCAGGUAAAGAGUAUUGCAGGUAAAGAGUACUGCAGGUAAAGAGUACUGCAGGAAAAGAGUAUUGCAGGUAAAUAGUAUUGCAAGAAAAGAGUAUUGCAGGUAAAGAGUACUGCAGGUAAA